GACCUUGUUGGUUUCGAUCUCGGAACCGAGGAAUUCCGUUUCCUUGAAUUGCCGGAUUUUUGUUUAGAUAAGCUUUUUUGUUAUGACAUAAAAGCCAUGGGAGGUUAUAUUUGUUUGACUGCAACUUAUAGGGAAAUCGAUACUGUCGUGGUUGAUGUAUGGAUAAUGGAGGAAUAUGGGGUUAAAGAAUCUUGGAUUAAAUUGAUAUCAUGCUACCAACCCGAAUUUAUUCCAGAUUCUCCAUUUGCAGUACCUUUGGCUUUUUCAAAAAAUGGUGACAAAGUUUUAUUCAACAUUUCUUACAAGUGCAGAAUUUUUAACAAUUGGUACAGUCUUAUGGACAAGUUUGUGUGGUAUGAUUUGUGUGGCGAAAGGAUUGAGAAAGUUGAGAUUAGAGGUAUUCCAUCUGUAUUUGAAGUGCACUUUUAUGUUGAGAGCCUUGUCCCUAUUAAUGGUAAUGCUGUAAUGAUCAACAAUGAGAUGCCCUAGAGGGAUGAUUUAUUGCUCAAGAAGUUUCAAUUGGUGUUAUAAUUAGAGAAAUUAUACGAGGUAAUUAAAGUUAAAUGAAGUUUGUUUCUUGAUUACUUUACUAGUAUCGGAUAUAAGUAUUUUUAAUUAAUGUUUUUAUGUAUUGGAGGAUGGUAUUAUUAUAUUUAUAUUUGGAUAUGCUACAUAAACACAUGAAUAAUUGGAGCUUGAUUGUAAUUAGUUUGAACUAGUGGAAGAAUUGGUUUGAUAAAAUGCAAUCUUACCAUUUUAAUAA
Molecule: long non-coding RNA, 763 nt
Organism: Gossypium arboreum
Lineage: Eukaryota; Viridiplantae; Streptophyta; Magnoliopsida; Malvales; Malvaceae
Exons: 2
Source: RefSeq, a predicted model, not a curated record